UACGAAGGGUGCAAGCGUUACUCGGAAUUACUGGGCGUAAAGCGUGCGUAGGUGGUGGUUUAAGUCUGCUGUGAAAGCCCUGGGCUCAACCUGGGAAUUGCAGUGGAUACUGGGUCACUAGAGUGUGGUAGAGGGAUGCGGAAUUUCUGGUGUAGCAGUGAAAUGCGUAGAGAUCAGAAGGAACAUCCGUGGCGAAGGCGGCAUCCUGGGCCAACACUGACACUGAGGCACGAAAGCGUGGGGAGCAAACAGG
RNAcentral lists this ribosomal RNA (253 nucleotides) under uncultured bacterium. RNAcentral describes it as "partial 16S ribosomal RNA". It matches the Rfam family "Bacterial small subunit ribosomal RNA", at positions 524 to 776 of the family's 1533-position model. The record is from RNAcentral. RNAcentral also lists the same sequence under 1 other name.